UACAGAGGGUGCAAGCGUUGUUCGGAAUUACUGGGCGUAAAGGGCGCGUAGGCGGUUUACCAAGUCAGAUGUGAAAGCCCGGGGCUCAACCCCGGAAGUGCAUUUGAAACUGGUAGGCUAGAGUGCAGUAGAGAAUGGCGGAAUUCCCAGUGGAGAGGUGAAAUUCGUAGAUAUUGGGAGGAACACCGGUGGCGAAGGCGGCCAUUUGGGCUGUAACUGACGCUGAGGCGCGAGAGCGUGGGUAGCAAACAGG
RNAcentral lists this ribosomal RNA (253 nucleotides) under uncultured bacterium. RNAcentral describes it as "partial 16S ribosomal RNA". It matches the Rfam family "Bacterial small subunit ribosomal RNA", at positions 524 to 776 of the family's 1533-position model. The record is from RNAcentral.